AUUGAACGCUGGCGGCAGGCCUAACACAUGCAAGUCGAGCGGAUGAAGGGAGCUUGCUCCUGGAUUCAGCGGCGGACGGGUGAGUAAUGCCUAGGAAUCUGCCUGGUAGUGGGGGAUAACGUCCGGAAACGGGCGCUAAUACCGCAUACGUCCUGAGGGAGAAAGUGGGGGAUCUUCGGACCUCACGCUAUCAGAUGAGCCUAGGUCGGAUUAGCUAGUUGGUGGGGUAAAGGCCUACCAAGGCGACGAUCCGUAACUGGUCUGAGAGGAUGAUCAGUCACACUGGAACUGAGACACGGCCCAGACUCCUACGGGAGGCAGCAGUGGGGAAUAUUGGACAAUGGGCGAAAGCCUGAUCCAGCCAUGCCGCGUGUGUGAAGAAGGUCUUCGGAUUGUAAAGCACUUUAAGUUGGGGGGAAGGGCAGUAAGUUAAUACCUUGCUGUUUUGACGUUACCAACAGAAUAAGCACCGGCUAACUUCGUG
RNAcentral lists this ribosomal RNA (484 nucleotides) under uncultured bacterium. RNAcentral's name for it is "partial 16S ribosomal RNA". It matches the Rfam family "Bacterial small subunit ribosomal RNA", at positions 30 to 507 of the family's 1533-position model. The record is from RNAcentral.